Molecule: ribosomal RNA, 533 nt
Filed under: Rhyssomatus sp. ARC3965
Lineage: Eukaryota; Metazoa; Arthropoda; Insecta; Coleoptera; Curculionidae
Description: SSU rRNA
Rfam family: Eukaryotic small subunit ribosomal RNA
Source: RNAcentral
UCAGUACAAGCCCAAAUUAAGGUGAAACCGCGAAAGGCUCAUUAAAUCAGUUAUGGUUCCUUAGAUCGUACCAACAAUUACUUGGAUAACUGUGGUAAUUCUAGAGCUAAUACAUGCAAACAGAGCUCCGACCGGAGACGGAAGGAGUGCUUUUAUUAGAUCAAAACCAAUCGGUGGCGGGUUCGCGCUCGUCAUCGUACAACUUGGUGACUCUGAAUAACUUUACGCUGAUCGCACGGUCACCGCACCGGCGACGCAUCUUUCAAAUGUCUGCCUUAUCAACUGUCGAUGGUAGGUUCUGCGCCUACCAUGGUCGUAACGGGUAACGGGGAAUCAGGGUUCGAUUCCGGAGAGGGAGCCUGARAAACGGCUACCACAUCCAAGGAAGGCAGCAGGCGCGCAAAUUACCCACUCCCGGMACRGGGAGGUAGUGACSAAAAAUAACGAUACGGGACUCAUCCGAGGCCCCGUAAUCGGAAUGARUACACUCUAAACCCUUWAACGAGGAUMAAUUGGAGGGCAAGUCUGGUGCC